CCUACGUGGGGCUGCAGUGAGGAAUAUUGGUCCAUGGGCGAGAGCCUGAACCAGCCAAGUCGCGUGAAGGAUGACGGCCCUACGGGUUGUCAACUUCUUUUUUCAGGGAGCAAUUGGGUCCACGCGUGGGCUUAGCUAGAUUACCUGAAGAAAAAGCAUCGGCUAACUCCGUGCCAUCAUCCGCGGUAAUACGGAGUAUGCGAGCGUUAUCCGGAUUUUUUGGGUUUAAAGGGUUCGUAGGAGGAAUAUCAAGUCAGCGGUAAAAAUUCGGGGCUCAACCCCGUCGUGCCGUUGAAACUGAUGUUCUUGAGUGGGCGAGAAGUAUGCGGAAUGCGUGGUGUAGCGGUGAAAUGCAUAGAUAUCACGCAGAACUCCGAUUGCGAAGGCAGCAUACCGGCGCCCAACUGACGCUGAAGCACGAAAGCGUGGGUAUCGAACAGGAUUAGAUACCCCGGUAGUC
RNAcentral lists this ribosomal RNA (460 nucleotides) under uncultured bacterium. RNAcentral describes it as "partial 16S ribosomal RNA". It matches the Rfam family "Bacterial small subunit ribosomal RNA", at positions 338 to 795 of the family's 1533-position model. The record is from RNAcentral.